GCAUCUGCCCCUGAUUUUAAUCCAAAGGAGCUGCUUUUGGAACUGGCGUGUCCGGCUUUGGUGUUUGCCUGCUGAGGAAGAGGCCUAUUCUUUUCUCCUGUCUUGGUAUGUGGAUUUCUUUCUCUCGAAGUAAUUCCUUAGCAUACCCUUGAAUGGCAUCUACCACACAUAACUUUUUCAACCCACAAGGCUGAAAGAACUUCCCUUAACUGUAAUGACCCCAGCACAGCUAUUCACUAGAAGACAUCCUCCAUGAUUUCUUAGGGGCCCAUAAGAUGACUGAAGUUGUAGAACAGCAAAGACUUGGAACAGACACUGAGGUCCUAUUGCUCCUGUCGGAAACUUCUGUUGACUGCAGCAUGAGUUGGAUGGGACCCAGAGAAACCAAAUACAGACAAGUAAUGAUGAGUUGGCCAUACAAGCAAGGAAAAUCACAGAUAACAGGUGCACACCAAUUAGCAAUGUAUCUUUUGGGUCGUCCAGUACAUCUUCCUGACACAAUGAAGUUGUUUCUUAUGGCAUAUUUUUGUGGUUUUUUUUUGCCUAGAUUAAAUUUCCUAAGUGAUGCCAUAUCUCAAGGGAGAGGUUGUGUUGCCUAG
RNAcentral lists this long non-coding RNA (599 nucleotides) under Lonchura striata (white-rumped munia). RNAcentral describes it as "domestica (Bengalese finch) lncRNA (ENSLSDG00000015456.1)". Lineage: Eukaryota; Metazoa; Chordata; Aves; Passeriformes; Estrildidae. The record is from RNAcentral.